Molecule: ribosomal RNA, 468 nt
Filed under: uncultured bacterium
Lineage: Bacteria
Description: partial 16S ribosomal RNA
Rfam family: Bacterial small subunit ribosomal RNA
Source: RNAcentral
GACGAACGCUGGCGGCGUGCUUAACACAUGCAAGUCGAACGGAAAGGCGCUGAUCUUGUGGGGUGCUCGAGUGGCGAACGGGUGAGUAACACGUGAGUAAACCGCCCUUGACUUUGGGAUAACUUCAGGAAAAUGGGGCUAAUAUCGGAUAGGAGCUCCUGCUGCAUGGUGGGGGUUGGAAAGUUUCGGCGGUUGGGGAUGGACUCGCGGCUUAUCAGCUUGUUGGUGGGGUAGUGGCUUACGAAGGCUUUGACGGGUAGCCGGCCUGAGAGGGGGACCGGCCACAUUGGGACUAAGAGACGGCCCAGACGCCUACGGGAGGCAGCAGUGGGGAAUAUUGCGCAACGGGCGGAAGCGUGAGGCAGCAACGCCGCGUGCGGGAUGACGGCCUUCGGGUUGUAAACCGCUUUCGCCUGUGACGAAGCGGGAGUGACGGUAAUGGGUAAAGAAGCACCGGCUAACUACGUG